CUAAGGGUGGCUGCAGUGGGGAAUAUUGGACAAUGGGCGAAAGCCUGAUCCAGCCAUGCCGCGUGUGUGAAGAAGGCCUUCGGGUUGUAAAGCACUUUCAGUGGGGAAGAAAGCCUUGGGGCUAAUACCCUCGAGGAAGGACAUCACCCACAGAAGAAGCACCGGCUAACUCCGUGCCAGCAGCCGCGGUAAUACGGAGGGUGCGAGCGUUAAUCGGAAUUACUGGGCGUAAAGCGCGCGUAGGCGGUCUGAUAAGCCGGUUGUGAAAGCCCCGGGCUCAACCUGGGAACGGCAUCCGGAACUGUCAGGCUAGAGUGCAGGAGAGGAAGGUAGAAUUCCCGGUGUAGCGGUGAAAUGCGUAGAGAUCGGGAGGAAUACCAGUGGCGAAGGCGGCCUUCUGGACUGACACUGACGCUGAGGUGCGAAAGCGUGGGUAGCAAACAGGAUUAGAUACCCUAGUAGUC
Molecule: ribosomal RNA, 464 nt
Filed under: Vreelandella stevensii
Lineage: Bacteria; Pseudomonadati; Pseudomonadota; Gammaproteobacteria; Oceanospirillales; Halomonadaceae
Description: partial 16S ribosomal RNA
Rfam family: Bacterial small subunit ribosomal RNA
Source: RNAcentral